Long non-coding RNA from Myotis brandtii (Brandt's bat), 1790 nucleotides. RefSeq lists it as uncharacterized. Lineage: Eukaryota; Metazoa; Chordata; Mammalia; Chiroptera; Vespertilionidae. The record is from RefSeq and is a predicted model, not a curated record. The transcript is spliced from 2 exons.
UCCACUGAGCCAAACUGGCUAGGACUAGAUGUGAUUCUUAUCUCAAUUCAUAUGAGGAGAUAGAAUUUAAAUAUAAAUGUGAUUUCUUCCUUCAAGUUACUUAUUGUUUAGUUGCAGAGACCACAGAAGCACUUGAGAAGUCUAAUAAAUAGUAAAAUGUAAUAUAUAUUUUCUCUUUUUCCCCUCCAGGUUCCUGUUGCAUGUAAAUCUUGUCCCUGUGGUUAUGUAUUUAUUAAUAGGAAUCUCCUAAAAGUAAAACAGUCAGAUAAGUCAUCACCUUUUACAGAAGUGAGCCAUACCAUGUCUUUGAAAGAUUUGCGAAUACUUUUCUUAUAUGAGUUUAAACUCGGACACAGUGCAGCCACGGCCAGCAGAAACAUCAUCUCCGUCUUCGGAGAAGGCUCUGUGAACGAAAGGACCAUCCGGUGGUGGUUUGAGAAGUUCCGUUCUGGGGAUCUGAGUCUGAAAAAUGAGCCUCGCGGGAGACCCAGGUCGGUCCUAAAUGAAGACGAGCUGCGAGCCAUGGUGGAAGCGAACCCCAAGAGCGCCAUCCGGGGCCUCGCCGCAGACCUAGGCGUUUCUGCUACAACCAUUUCUCGACACCUGGCUGCGAUGGGAAAGGUGAAAAAGUUGGACAAGUGGGUGACAGCAGCUGAUGGGUGAUCAUGAACAGGUGGUUGGAGAGACGCUCAUCCCUUAAGAUUUGGAAGAGCAGAGACCUUAUGAGAGCGUCCUGAGUGUGACAGAAAUGAAAUCGAAAGGGAUCUGGACAAUGGCUGGAUGUUGAUGAAGUUCCCCAACGUGUUAAAAACCUUCCUUCUACCAAAAGAGGAUCCGGUAACUGUGGGUGGUGUGCACACAGGGAGUUUCAACACUGCGUGUUCACCCGAACUGCUCUCCCUGCUUAAACGAGCUCGCAUUGCCCCAGUCGCUCUACAGCACUCUGCGCUGGUCCGCAGACGUGGACCUGUCCUGCCCAGGACAACAGUGGACUGCAGACGUCACAGACCGCCAUCGGGAGGUAACUGAAUCGGGCAAAGGAAUUUAGCGCAUCCAUCAGACUCACCUGGCCUUUUAAAACAGACUCCCACCUCCUUUAUCAUUUGUAACUAACACAGAACAUUCUCCGGUUGAGAAGCAGGAAUUGAAGGAAGUGAAUGUCUUUUAACAAGACUGGAUUUUAUAAAUGUAGUAUAUCAUUUAAUAUUGGGGGAAGUUUAUCACUUGGAGAAAGCAGCUCAUACUAUUAGUGCAUAUUUUGGUUGAAUGAAGCUGUUGUUUUUCUCAAAAAACAUAACAUUUUCAUUUUGACCUGCAAAAGGCAAUUGCAUGUGGCUCACCCUGAUCAUUUCCUAAUCCCGGCAGAGCCCGGAGACGGAAAGGCACUCAGGAGCCAAAGCUACAGCUGCUCCUGAGGACUGCGGCUUCUUCCCGGGAGGGAUGUGGCACAACCCAGGGAGUGAACAUGCACGCGUGCGUGUGUGUGUGUGUGUGUGUGUGUGUGUGUGAAAGAUGCUUAGGAGUUGGCCGAGCAGAAACCCAGGUGAAGAGUGCUUCAGCCUCCUUCCCUUCCUUUGACUGCAGCUGCUUUGCUCCUGGUGUGCUUUCUGUCUGGAUGUUUGCUGUUCCUCUUCACCUUAUUAACUCUACCCAUCAUGCACUUUUCCUCCAGGAAGUCUUCCCUGGUUGCCCCACCCCCGCCCCAGGUCAGGUCCCUUUGAGGCCUAAGAAUCCCAGUAUUGUUCCUGCAUAAUGUGAUCACGGUCAUAAUAUAUUUAUUUGUGUGAUAA